Molecule: transfer RNA, 72 nt
Organism: Ovis aries (sheep)
Lineage: Eukaryota; Metazoa; Chordata; Mammalia; Artiodactyla; Bovidae
Rfam family: tRNA
About the family: Transfer RNA (tRNA) molecules are approximately 80 nucleotides in length.
Source: Rfam
UCCCUGGUGGCUCAGACGGUAAAGCAUCUGCCUACAAUGCAGGAGACCUGGGUUCGAUCCCUGGGUUGGGAA